RNAcentral lists this unclassified non-coding RNA (334 nucleotides) under soil metagenome. Its description in RNAcentral is "partial contains 5.8S ribosomal RNA, internal transcribed spacer 2, and large subunit ribosomal RNA". The stretch from base 1 to 120 matches the Rfam family "5.8S ribosomal RNA", at positions 35 to 154 of the family's 154-position model. The record is from RNAcentral.
GAUGAAGAACGUAGCGAAAUGCGAUAAGUAAUGUGAAUUGCAGAAUUCAGUGAAUCAUCGAAUCUUUGAACGCACAUUGCGCCCGCCAGUAUUCUGGCGGGCAUGCCUGUUCGAGCGUCAUUUCAACCAUCAAGCCCCAGGCUUGUGUUGGAGCCCUGCGGCUGCCGCAGCCUCCCAAAACCAGUGGCGGGCUCGCUAUCACACCGAGUGCAGUAGUUUACUCUUCGCUCAGGGCGUGUGGCGGGUGCUAGCCGUAAAACCCCCAACUUCUCAAGGUUGACCUCGGAUCAGGUAGGAAUACCCGCUGAACUUAAGCAUAUCAAUAAGCGGAAGA